AUUUUGUUACCAUUUGUAGAUAUUAAAGGCUGAUUUUUUCUACUCAUAAUAUUCUCUUAUAUAAAAAAAAGUCGAAUCUGGUAAGUAGAUUUUAUUUUAAAUUCAACAAGAAAUUAAAGUUCCUAUUCUUUUUUCAGCUUUCUAAUGUCUAUCUCUGAUUUCAUUAUUUGCUAAGUUUUCAGUAAAAAAUCAGUAUUUGGUCGUGUUUCUUUGAUAAAGAAGAUAGUUCUCUAUUGUGUUUGACCUAUAGAACAAACAAAAACACAAGUGAAAAACAAAAAACAAGUACGUGCCAUGAGUCAACCCGCUGAUAGUGUUCCUCCGCCUAAAGGUACCUCCCUUAGAUUCAAGCUGCUUUGGUUUUGAUAUCGAUCAGUUCGUUAUGCGUUUUUGGUUUAGAUUUGAGUUUGACAAACCCUUUUAGAAUUCUGAUCUAAGUAGUGUUGUUAGAUCCGUUUGCGUCCUAUCAAAGCCGUAUAAAAGUAGUGUAGUAGGAGACCAUAAACAGUUAUAGAUUGCUAUAAAUAAAAAAAAAGUUUUAAUAAUUUGAGAUCACGCCACCAAUAUAUAAUCACUCUUUAAAUUUUGUGGGUCAAUGCAAAUGUUCAUUUUGACUCCUAUUUUUUUUUUUCUUCUGGUUUGUUUUGAGUCCGUUUCAUAUUCUGGUUGAUCAUAUUAUCCGUCAGAUGAACACCCUAGCACUAAGGACGCUUCUCCUCCGCCUCCUGGAAAUCCUUCGGCACCACAACAUCCCAAUCCUCAGCAAGGUAAUCCGUCAGAUGGACACCCUAACCCUAAGGACGCUUCUCCCACGCCUCCAGAAAAUCCUCCGGCACAACAACAACCCUAUCCUCAACAAUGUUAUCCACCACCGCAGGGAUAUCCUCAGCAAGGCUAUCCACCUCCGUAUGCACCGCAAUACCCACAGCCUCAGGAACAUCAGAAGCAGAGUAGUAACCCUGGUUUGAUUGAAGGAUGUCUGGCUGCUAUGUGCUGUUGUUGUGUCUUGGGGGCUUUUUUCUGAGUGGAGUCUCUGCAUGAAGCUGUGAAAUUGGAUUGUUUGUUGUUUUAUUUUUAUUGAUCUCAUCUUAUUCUUCUAUGUUGUUUUAUAUAUGUUUAUCAUCUGAGUCAUAAGUUAUUAGUGGUUGUGGACUUUCUUCUGGGUUUACUUAUUUUAUUUGCCAAUGGGGAUGGAAAUUCAUCCAGUGCCGGUUUAGAUGGAGAACAAGCGGUACGACCACCACAUACAUGUCUGAUCUCGUGUCCCUCCAUUUAUAUUAUAGGUAUUUUUGCUAAAAAAUAAAAUAAAAAGCUCUUAAAAAUAUUUUAUAUAAACAUAUUUUCAACAUAAAUUUUAUAAAAAGUUACUUAUAAUAUUUUUAAUAAAAAAAAAAUUAUUGAAAAAUUUAUAAAAAUAUUAAAUUUAAGGAUUCAAAGCUCAAUGGCUCAUAAAAUUAUUUAUCCGGCGCUGAAUUCAUCAUACACAAAAUGAUGUUGCACUGUAUUGGCAACUGCUUCUUCAUGGCUUUCAUCUCUUGUUUCAUAGAUUCGCACUUUUUAUUAUCAUAUUAAAAAAAUAUUCAUUAUGCAACAAAUUUUACAAAUAAACGUGUAAGUUUUUGUUUUGUAUGCAGAUGUACAAGUACAAGAUAACACCGGACUAAUUCGAAAUCUGAAAACAACUAUUGAGAUUUUUUUUUUUUUUGAGAAUUUAUUAAUUAAUCAAAACUUUAUGUAUUAAUUAAUGAUUUUUAUUAAGCUUUAUAAUAUAUUAACAAAACAAAAACAUUUUAAUAUUGAAAAACUCAAUGUCUUUAGUUCAGACUGGUAAAAUAAACGACGGUCAGUUUUUUUGCACGGACCUAGUGUUAUUAAAUAAAUAGUAAAGUAGCGGACUGAAUUUCUAUUGAAAUAAUACCGUAGUCAUGGAAGUUGGGUUUACAAGAGAAGAAGUCUACACAAGAACAUACGUUUUUAUUAUACAUCAGAGCUCUAAACAACAGCCAGAUCAAAAUAAAACUGUAUUGCCUAUUGGCAUCUAUGAGGCUCAAAACCUAUAUACUAGAAAUAUAGAAAUAUAGAUCAUGACCUUAUUGAUGUGUAUAGUCCAACGAGCGACUCA
Long non-coding RNA from Brassica napus (rape), 2122 nucleotides. RefSeq lists it as uncharacterized. NCBI's taxonomy places the organism in Eukaryota, Viridiplantae, Streptophyta, Magnoliopsida, Brassicales, Brassicaceae. The record is from RefSeq and is a predicted model, not a curated record. The transcript has 3 exons.